Molecule: ribosomal RNA, 495 nt
Filed under: uncultured bacterium
Lineage: Bacteria
Description: partial 16S ribosomal RNA
Rfam family: Bacterial small subunit ribosomal RNA
Source: RNAcentral
GACGAACGCUGGCGGCGUGCCUAAUACAUGCAAGUAGAACGCUGAAGGAGGAGCUUGCUUCUCUGGAUGAGUUGCGAACGGGUGAGUAACGCGUAGGUAACCUGCCUGGUAGUGGGGGAUAACUAUUGGAAACGAUAGCUAAUACCGCAUAAUAGCAGUUGUUGCAUGAUAACUGUUUGAAAGGUGCAAUUGCACCGCUACCAGAUGGACCUGCGUUGUAUUAGCUAGUUGGUGGGGUAACGGCUCACCAAGGCGACGAUACAUAGCCGACCUGAGAGGGUGAUCGGCCACACUGGGACUGAGACACGGCCCAGACUCCUACGGGAGGCAGCAGUAGGGAAUCUUCGGCAAUGGACGGAAGUCUGACCGAGCAACGCCGCGUGAGUGAAGAAGGGUUUCGGAUCGUAAAGCUCGGUUGUAAGAGAAGAACGAGUGUGAGAGUGGAAAGUUCACACUGUGACGGUAUCUUACCAGAAAGGGACGGCUAACUACGUG